This is a long non-coding RNA of Eriocheir sinensis (Chinese mitten crab), 400 nucleotides long. RefSeq lists it as uncharacterized. The record is from RefSeq and is a predicted model, not a curated record. The transcript is spliced from 2 exons. Lineage: Eukaryota; Metazoa; Arthropoda; Malacostraca; Decapoda; Varunidae.
UGUGUGUGUGUGUGUGUGUGUAUAAUUUUUCUUUUUUUCUAUUUCUUCCUCCUCCUAUUCCUUCUCCUUUCUUCAUUUACUAUUCUUCCUCUUCCUAUUUAUCAUUUAUUUGUGUAGGCUAUGUGUAUGUAUGUGUGUGUUCGUGCCAAAUCUAUCUCUAUCUAUAUCACCCAAACUAACCAGAAACAUAUAUACAAAUAGGUGUGUAGGUUUUCAAAGGCUAACAUCGUCACUUUCACCUCUCGAGACAACUCUUUCCCAAGGCCACAAAGGAGGUUAGUCAAGUUCUCAUGAGUGUGUGUUUUCACGUUCAUGUCGUAGAAAGAAGCCUCGUCAAACUACCACUAUGGGCUCCUCAAAAAACUAAAGGCCUACCCAUGGACAUACUCACACACGCACA